GCAGUCUUAGUAUAGUGGUUAGUACAGCUCGUUGUGGUUUGUCCCACACUGAGUCCUUGGCAUCAGCGCCGAGCAGACGGAUGUUCGAUUCCUCCAGACUGCA
Molecule: transfer RNA, 103 nt
Filed under: Melanopsichium pennsylvanicum
Lineage: Eukaryota; Fungi; Basidiomycota; Ustilaginomycetes; Ustilaginales
Description: transfer RNA-His(GTG)
Rfam family: tRNA
About the family: Transfer RNA (tRNA) molecules are approximately 80 nucleotides in length. Their secondary structure includes four short double-helical elements and three loops (D, anti-codon, and T loops).
Source: RNAcentral